Molecule: ribosomal RNA, 283 nt
Filed under: uncultured bacterium
Lineage: Bacteria
Description: partial 16S ribosomal RNA
Rfam family: Bacterial small subunit ribosomal RNA
Source: RNAcentral
GACGAACGCUGGCGGCGUGCUUAACACAUGCAAGUCGAGCGGUAAGGCCCUUUCGGGGGUACACGAGCGGCGAACGGGUGAGUAACACGUGGGUGACCUGCCCUCAGCUCUGGGAUAAGCCUGGGAAACCGGGUCUAAUACUGGAUAUGACUCCAUGACGCAUGUUGUGGGGUGGAAAGCCUUGUGCGGCUGAGGAUGGGCCCGCGGCCUAUCAGCUUGUUGGUGGGGUGAGGCCUACCAAGGCGACGACGGGUAGCCGGCCUGAGAGGGCGACCGGCCACAC